ACACAGUUUUUGAUUGGACCAGAAGAAUGUAGCAGAACUUAACAUUCAAGAUGCCAAUCCUAUACCCAUAUACGAAAGGUGGCAUGAGCAUUGUAUAUUAACAAACAGCUUUCAAUCAUUACUACCAUCACAAAAAGAACAGGUGGAAGAUUUAAAUUAUUUCUCUCUCUCUCUCUCUCUGAAUGCAUGGCUGUGAACAGAAUGCCUCUAAGACAAGUAUCUACUACAUGGCAGAUCAAGCAUAUUAUCACUGCAAGAGCGGGACUUCAAAAAUUACAUCUUCACCCUGUUGGCAAGUACACAAACACCUUGAUGUGGAAUCUUCAACACUGGCAUUCACUAUCUUCAUUCCUGGCUAACACAGACAUUCGGGCAGCCACAAGCAGCCACAUCAAUGAAUAAGACCACACAAGUAGGAUUAGGAACUUUUGUUAAACCAGAGGUUCGCUGUAUUGACAUUGGAAGAGCUACAGUGAUAAACAUUGAUCCUUGGAAAGCUAUGAGCAAUGUACAACACGUGACAGCCAUUUGUUGUUUUAAUGUUCAGAGCCACCCUCUGCACUCACAUUUAAGGUAAACCUAGCAUGUUGUUGCUGCUGCCACUGCUGCUGCUGUUAUGUGCUAUUCAAGUUGGAACCGACUUAUAGUGACCUUAAUAUGGCUGUCAAGGCUGCAAAUUUACACAACCUUAUCCAGGAGUCAGAUCCAUUUAAGUGAACGGAAUUGUUUUCUGAGGAACAAACAUAUGACAGCAACUGUAAGUAUAUUUUUAUGGUAUUUGUGCCACUCCUUUACUUUUGAAUUGUUCAAAGAAGGCUAUAACCUUUCAAAAUCAGUUACUGUAUAUACUGUCACAUAUAUAUUUUAAUCCACUUUAAAUGGUUGCUAUAAAUAUACUGUUUUGAGAGCAGACACCUAAUAUUUCAGUUUAAGAAAACCUCUUCACCAUUUUAAAAUAACAUAUAUCUGUGUUGGCCUGGGAGUGGAAAUACCAGUAACUCCUUAAAAGGGAGUGAGGAAGAAAACAUUCACACUCUUACUGUUUUAGGUCUGGGUCUCACAAAAAAACGAAGGGAUGGACCAAAAGUUUGAUGUGGCCAUCAUAGGUCUCUUUGGUAAAGAGCUCAUUGAUCAUGAGUGUCAUGUAGCACAGUGGGGCUGCUUUUAUUCACCUCAAAGACUUUUGAGGCACAUUAGGUAUCAAUCAAACACUCGUCAUCUCCAGCACCCCACUGUCAGAUCCUGUGUGUAAUUCUCUUCCUUGCUUUUCUUCUGAAGUUUGAAAGAACUAAAAACGCUCUUCUUGGCAAAACCAUGCCAUCAUCAGGUUUGAACUCAAAUCUGAGUUCAAAUUUCAAUAUUGUUCCCUAGCUCUGAACAAGGAUGCAAUCUUCAUGUUUUAACAAAGGGGGGGGGGCAGUAUGAAAGAGGAUCUGUUUGCUUUAUUUUCAUAUUCUACAGAUGAUUCCCAAAACAGAGCCUUUAAACAGAAAUGGCAUUCAUUAAAAAAGGGACAUGAACGUUUUGUAAGUUGUUUACCAAUCUUCUACUCAUUGUCUCAUCAAAUUACCCAAGAGAUUUUCAUCCAAUAUUGUUGUGAAGGCUGUUGUUAGUAGCCUAUCAGAAUGUCUGGAGCGUGGGGUGGGGGCAGAUAUCUGGAAGAUAUAAAAAGGGCCUGGAUUGGCUGGAAACCAGUGGAUGUGUUCUUUCAUUGUUUCACUCAUUCCUUGUGAUGUGGGAGUUCCUGGCACAACCCAUUUUAUACUGUCUGACUGGCUGCAUCUGUUAUUCACAUGAUCUUCAAUCCUUUCCUCUUUUUUUCCCCUUGCCUCCUUUGGAUUAUUUUUUGUAUUUCUUUUUCCUAUGAU
RNAcentral lists this long non-coding RNA (1868 nucleotides) under Pogona vitticeps (central bearded dragon). RNAcentral describes it as "lncRNA (ENSPVIG00000013833.1)". Lineage: Eukaryota; Metazoa; Chordata; Lepidosauria; Squamata; Agamidae. The record is from RNAcentral.